This is a non-coding RNA of Parelaphostrongylus tenuis, 74 nucleotides long. NCBI's taxonomy places the organism in Eukaryota, Metazoa, Nematoda, Chromadorea, Rhabditida, Metastrongylidae. The record is from the annotation of a GenBank genome assembly.
GCGUCGGUAAGUGCAACGGUUCAGCACCCUCUUUCGGAAAGAGUGAAAUUUGAGUUCGAAUCCCGGCUGACGCA